Molecule: long non-coding RNA, 696 nt
Filed under: Homo sapiens (human)
Lineage: Eukaryota; Metazoa; Chordata; Mammalia; Primates; Hominidae
Description: non-protein coding LINC00271:7
Source: RNAcentral
AGGAGGGGCCGUGCGGCGCCUGCCCGGGGGCCCUCAGGCCGCAGGCGGGCGCGAGCUUCAGGGAACUUAGGGGGCUCCCGCCUCCCCGGCCACGCGAGCGGGAACAGUCUCCUCCACUCGGAGCGGCGCCAUCUUCAGCUCUGAGUCACCAGGGCUGGAAAAAUACUAGAUGCGCUACUCGUGGACUCGUGAAUACACUCGUGAAUACAGGCCAUUUCCUGUACCUACAGCCACCCGCUCCACUCAUCAUGCCUUACCUGGAUGAUGCAGAAGUCCCUGGAAACAGAAGGUCUCACCCUUCUUUAUCUUUCUCAUGGCUUUCCAAGGCUCUUUAUCAUGUUACUUUCCUGCUCAGAAUUCUUUAAUGACUUGCCUCAAUGACCAGAUACAUGUGAUCUACAGUCAGCCUUCCAGCCUCAUCAUUCCUCUUCCAUUUCCUCCCCAGAAACACUGUACUUUAUGAAGCUCCUCCAAGACAUUAUAGAUCCAGACUCCUGUGCCUGACCACUGCCCAUGGCCAACUCUCUGCUGAUGACUGGACUUGACUACACAAGUUGUUGGCCAUCUUAAAACCACUCAAAGUUGACGGUCUCCUCUCCUGCCUCCUGCGGCUUCCAUUACCAUGGCAGAGACUGUGGUGUCUGAGGUGGUGUAGCGUACUGAAGCAAGGCUGUCUUGAAGAAGAGGAGACAACUC